AGACGAUGAAUCUUCGUGCACGAUCUUACUCACAGGCUCAUUUCCUUUCGGCUUGAGGAUUUGAAAAAUGAAAGUAGGAAAAAUGUAAGUAGACGGGCAGGGAGGAAAAAGUGU
Molecule: non-coding RNA, 114 nt
Organism: Caenorhabditis elegans
Lineage: Eukaryota; Metazoa; Nematoda; Chromadorea; Rhabditida; Rhabditidae
Source: Ensembl